UACGUAGGUGACAAGCGUUGUCCGGAAUUAUUGGGCGUAAAGGGAGCGCAGGCGGUUGGAAUAGUCUGAUGUGAAAGCCCACGGCUUAACCGUGGAAGGUCAUUGGAAACUGGGAGACUUGAGUGCAGAAGAGGAGAGUGGAAUUCCAUGUGUAGCGGUGAAAUGCGUAGAUAUAUGGAGGAACACCAGUGGCGAAGGCGGCUUUCUGGACUGUAACUGACACUGAGGCACGAAAGCGUGGGUAGCAAACAGG
RNAcentral lists this ribosomal RNA (253 nucleotides) under uncultured bacterium. RNAcentral's name for it is "partial 16S ribosomal RNA". It matches the Rfam family "Bacterial small subunit ribosomal RNA", at positions 524 to 776 of the family's 1533-position model. The record is from RNAcentral.